AUGCCCAAUGGCCAAACAAUAAAGUGUCACCAGCCAGAGGCCUAUAAAUAUCUGGGCAUAUUACAGCUGGACAACAUCAAGCAUGAACAUGUGAAGAUUGUGGUCAGUAAAGAAUACACACAAAGGGUCAGAAAAAUUCUCAAAAGCAAGCUCAAUGGAGGCAACACCAUCAAGGCCAUAAACACCUGGGCCAUACCUGUCAUAAGAUAUACUGCUGGCAUUAUAAAUUGGACACAGGCGGAACUGGACAAUUUGGACAGAAAAACAAGAAAACUCAUGACCAUUCAUCAUUCACUGCACCCUCGCAGUGAUGUUGACCGGCUGUAUCUGCCUAGAAGAUCAGGGGGCAGAGGACUCUUACAAGUAAAACAAGCAGUCAAAGAAGAAGAACAUGCCCUGGCAGAAUAUGUCAAGCAAAGUGAAGAACCUGCUUUGAUUGAAGUCAAAAAUCAGAAACUCCUCAAAGCACAGCAGACAAAAAACCAGUACAAGAAAACCGCACUACAAACUAGAGCUGCCAGCUGGCACAACAAAACACUGCAUGGAAAGUUCCUUGACAAAAUUGAAGGAAAAGCUGAUAAAGAGAAGACCUGGCUCUGGCUCACGAAUGGGACCCUGAAGAAGGAGACAGAAGGCCUGAUCCUUGCAGCCCAGGAGCAAGCCAUCAGAACAAAUGCAAUCAAGGCCAAGAUCGAAAAAUCAGCUGAUAACCCAAAGUGCAGACUGUGCAAGGAAACCGAUGAAACCAUUGAUCAUAUCCUCAGCUGCUGUAAGAAAAUUGCACAGACAGACUACAAACAGAGGCACAACUAUGUGGCCCAAAUGAUUCAUUGGAACCUAUGCCUCAAGUAUCACCUCCCUGCAGUUAAGAACUGGUGGGAUCACAAACCUGCAAAGGUUGUGGAAAAUGAACACGCAAAGAUACUGUGGGACUUCCGAAUCCAGACUGACAAAGUUCUGGAACACAACACACCAGACAUCACAGUUGUGGAAAAGAACAAGGUUUGGAUCAUUGAUGUUGCCAUCCCAGGUGACAGUCGCAUUGAAGAAAAACAACAGGAAAAACUCAGCCGCUAUCAGGACCUCAAGAUUGAACUUCAAAGACUCUGGCAGAAACCAGUGCAGGUGGUCCCGGUGGUGAUGGGCACACUGGGUGCCGUGCCAAAAGAUCUCAGCCGGCACUUGGAAACAAUAGACAUUGACAAAAUUACGAUCUGCCAACUGCAAAAGGCCACCUUACUGGGAUCUGCACGCAUCAUCCGAAAAUACAUCACACAGUCCUAG
Molecule: long non-coding RNA, 1284 nt
Filed under: Anolis carolinensis (green anole)
Lineage: Eukaryota; Metazoa; Chordata; Lepidosauria; Squamata; Anolidae
Description: lncRNA (ENSACAG00000038069.1)
Source: RNAcentral